This is a non-coding RNA of Marchantia polymorpha subsp. ruderalis, 268 nucleotides long. Lineage: Eukaryota; Viridiplantae; Streptophyta; Marchantiopsida; Marchantiales; Marchantiaceae. The record is from the annotation of a GenBank genome assembly.
ACGAAGGCUGCUGACAGAGCGUGGUAUUGAGUACACGGCGAAGAAGAAUGAUAGUCUCUUUCGGAUGAACUUUGAGCUUGGAAUUUGUUUCUCUGCUACGUUUUGAAAUCUCGUCUUCGAUGUCCCAAAGGUUCGGUUGUGGAUGUUGGUUCCCGCAUCGAUCGAGUUGGUCGCUACUGUGUGGCAGUUGGCUGUGAACUGAAAUGUCUGUCGUCAGAGAUUAUCUUCAACUUCGCUGUUAACUCAAUGUCGAUGUUCUGGCCGAUGU